CGGAGGAUCCGAGCGUUAUCCGGAUUUAUUGGGUUUAAAGGGUGCGUAGGCGGCCUGUUAAGUCAGGGGUGAAAGACGGUAGCUCAACUAUCGCAGUGCCCUUGAUACUGAUGGGCUUGAAUGUACUAGAGGUAGGCGGAAUGUGACAAGUAGCGGUGAAAUGCAUAGAUAUGUCACAGAACACCAAUUGCGAAGGCAGCUUACUAUGGUAUUAUUGACGCUGAGGCACGAAAGCGUGGGGAUCAAACAGGAUUAGAUACCCUGGUAGUCCGCGCCCUAAACGAUGAAUACUCGAUGUUAGCGAUAUACAGUUAGCGUCAAAGCGAAAGCGUUAAGUAUUCCACCUGGGGAGUACGCCCGCAAGGGUG
This 368-nucleotide ribosomal RNA is filed under the name uncultured organism. RNAcentral describes it as "bacterial SSU rRNA". It matches the Rfam family "Bacterial small subunit ribosomal RNA", at positions 526 to 896 of the family's 1533-position model. The record is from RNAcentral.